Molecule: ribosomal RNA, 474 nt
Filed under: uncultured bacterium
Lineage: Bacteria
Description: bacterial SSU rRNA
Rfam family: Bacterial small subunit ribosomal RNA
Source: RNAcentral
AUGGCUCAGAAUCAACGCUGGCGGCGUGCCUCAGACAUGCAAGUCGAACGAUUAAAGCUCUCUUCGGAGAGUGUAUAGAGUGGCGCACGGGUGAGUAACACGUAAGUAAUCUACCCUCGAGUGGGGAAUAACAACCGGAAACGGUUGCUAAUACCGCAUAAUGCAGCGGCACCGCAAGGUGACAGUUGUUAAAGAUUUAUCGCUUGAGGAGGAGCUUGCGGCAGAUUAGCUAGUUGGUAGGGUAACGGCUUACCAAGGCUACGAUCUGUAACCGGUCUAAGAGGACGGUCGGUCACACUGACACUGAAUAACGGGUCAGACUCCUACGGGAGGCAGCAGUCGGGAAUUUUGGGCAAUGGGCGAAAGCCUGACCCAGCAACGCCGCGUGAAGGAUGAAGUAUUUCGGUAUGUAAACUUCGAAAGAAUAGGAAGAAUUAAUGACGGUACUAUUUAUAAGGUCCGGCUAACUACGUG